GAGCUUGCUCCCUGAUGUUAGCGGCGGACGGGUGAGUAACACGUGGGUAACCUGCCUGUAAGACUGGGAUAACUCCGGGAAACCGGGGCUAAUACCGGAUGGUUGUUUGAACCGCAUGGUUCAAACAUAAAAGGUGGCUUCGGCUACCACUUACAGAUGGACCCGCGGCGCAUUAGCUAGUUGGUGAGGUAACGGCUCACCAAGGCAACGAUGCGUAGCCGACCUGAGAGGGUGAUCGGCCACACUGGGACUGAGACACGGCCCAGACUCCUACGGGAGGCAGCAGUAGGGAAUCUUCCGCAAUGGACGAAAGUCUGACGGAGCAACGCCGCGUGAGUGAUGAAGGUUUUCGGAUCGUAAAGCUCUGUUGUUAGGGAAGAACAAGUACCGUUCGAAUAGGGCGGUACCUUGACGGUACCUAACCAGAAAGCCACGGCUAACUACGUGCCAGCAGCCGCGGUAAUACGUAGGUGGCAAGCGUUGUCCGGAAUUAUUGGGCGUAAAGGGCUCGCAGGCGGUUUCUUAAGUCUGAUGUGAAAGCCCCCGGCUCAACCGGGGAGGGUCAUUGGAAACUGGGGAACUUGAGUGCAGAAGAGGAGAGUGGAAUUCCACGUGUAGCGGUGAAAUGCGUAGAGAUGUGGAGGAACACCAGUGGCGAAGGCGACUCUCUGGUCUGUAACUGACGCUGAGGAGCGAAAGCGUGGGGAGCGAACAGGAUUAGAUACCCUGGUAGUC
RNAcentral lists this ribosomal RNA (735 nucleotides) under Bacillus subtilis. RNAcentral's name for it is "bacterial SSU rRNA". It matches the Rfam family "Bacterial small subunit ribosomal RNA", at positions 76 to 795 of the family's 1533-position model. Lineage: Bacteria; Bacillati; Bacillota; Bacilli; Caryophanales; Bacillaceae. The record is from RNAcentral.